Molecule: ribosomal RNA, 1978 nt
Filed under: human metagenome
Description: bacterial LSU rRNA
Rfam family: Bacterial large subunit ribosomal RNA
Source: RNAcentral
UAAAAUAAUUAAGGGCACACAAAGGAUGCCUAGGUAGUAAGAGCCGAUGAAGGACGUGGUAAGCUGCGAUAAGCCUAGAUAAGUUGCAAUCGAACGUAAGAGUCUAGGAUUUCCGAAUGGAGCAAUCUAUUAAGAUGGAGUCUUAAUACGAAAGAGGGAACCACGUGAACUGAAACAUCUAAGUAACGUGAGGAAAAGAAAGUAAAAACGAUACCCAAAGUAGCGGCGAGCGAAAUGGGUCAAGCCUAAACCUUAAAUAUGUCAAGGAUACAGCCGUUGUAUUUAAGGGGUUGUGGGACAGAGUGAUGAAGAACUGUAAGAUAUUCAAUAUAGUGUAUUGAUGAAUUAGAAUUGUCUGGAAAGGUGAACCGCAGAAGGUGAAAGUCCUGUAUAAGUAAAUCCUUACACAUAUAACUUUGCUCCCAAGUAACAUGGAACACGAGGAAUUCUGUGUGAAUCAGUGAGGACCAUAUCUCAUAAGGCUAAAUACUCUUACUAACCGAUAGCGCAUAGUACCGUGAGGGAAAGGUGAAAAGAACCCCUGGAGGGGAGUGAAAUAGAACCUGAAAUUGUGUGCUUACAAGCGGUCAGAGCCCAUUAGGGUGAUGGCGUGCCUUUUGGAGAAUGAUCCUGCGAGUUACGUUAAACGGCGAGGUUAAGUAUAACGGAGCCGAAGGGAAACCAAGUCUUAAUAGGGCGAUAUAGUCGUUUAGCGUAGACGCGAAACCUGGUGAUCUAAACCUGUCCAGGAUGAAGCUGUGGUAAGACACAGUGGAGGUCCUAACCCACCGCCGUUGAAAAGUUGGGGGAUGAGGUAGGUUUAGGGGUGAAAAGCCAAUCGAACCAGGAGAUAGCUCGUUCUCUCCGAAAUGCAUCUAGGUGCAGCCUUGAGUGUUCAAUUAUGGGGGUAGAGCACUGAAUGAUCUAGGGGGCAUAUUGCUUACUGAAAUCAAUCAAACUCCAAAUACCAUAAUUUAUAGCUCAGGAGUGAGACCAUGGGAGUUAACUUCCAUUGUCAAAAGGGAAACAACCCAGACCACCAGCUAAGGUCCCUAAUUAUAACUAAGUGGGAAAGGAGGUGGAGAUUCACAAACAACUAGGAGGUUGGCUUAGAAGCAGCCAUACCUUUAAAGAGUGCGUAAUAGCUCACUAGUCGAGAGUCUCUGCGCCGACAAUGUAACGGGGCUAAGUUAUAAACCGAAGCUGUGGAAUCCUUAUGGAUUGGUAGGAGAGCGUUCUGUAGGCUGUUGAAGAAGAAGGGUAACCAACUUUGGAGGUAUCAGAAGUGAGAAUGCAGGAAUAAGUAGCGAGAAAGGGGGCGAGAAUCCCCCUCGCCGGAAGACCAAGGUUUUCAGGGUAAAGCUUGUCUUCCCUGAGUAAGCCGGGACCUAAGCCCAGGCUAUAAUGCGUAGGCGAAUGGAAAACAGAUUAAUAUUUCUGUGCCAGUCAUUUAUUGUGAUGGAGGGACGCAGAAGGGUAUGUGCGCGGACGAUCGGUUGUGUCCGUAGAAGUAUGUAGGGUGACUUAGUAGGUAAAUCCAUUAAGUUAUAUCUGAGGUAUGAUAUACAGUCGUAAGAUGAAUGUACAAAUCCCACGCUGCCAAGAAAAACUUCUAACGUUAAUAUAUGACUGCCCGUACUGUAAACCGACACAGGUGGUCAGGAUGAGAAAUCUAAGGCGGACAGGCUAACUCUCGUUAAGGAACUCUGCAAAAUAACCUCGUAACUUCGGGAGAAGAGGAGCCCUUGUGUGUGAGUAUACACGCGAUACAAAGCACACGAGGGUCGCAGUGAAGAGGCUCAAGCAACUGUUUAACAAAAACACAGGUCUAUGCUAAGCUGGAAGGCGAUGUAUAUGGGCUGACACCUGCCCAGUGCUGGAAGGUUAAGAGGAGGAGUGAGAGCUCCGAAUUGAAGCCCCAGUGAACGGCGGCCGUAACUAUAACGGUCCUAAGGUAGCGAAAUUCCUUGUCGGGUAA